Molecule: ribosomal RNA, 253 nt
Filed under: uncultured bacterium
Lineage: Bacteria
Description: partial 16S ribosomal RNA
Rfam family: Bacterial small subunit ribosomal RNA
Source: RNAcentral
UACAGAGGGUGCAAGCGUUGCUCGGAUUUACUGGGCGUAAAGCGUGCGCAGACGGCUGAGCAAGUUGGACGUGAAAGCCUGGGGCUCAACCCCAGAAUGGCGUUCAAAACUACUCGGCUCGAGUAUGGGAGAGGGAAGUGGAAUUCCUGGUGUAGAGGUGAAAUUCGUAGAUAUCAGGAGGAACACCGGCGGCGAAGGCGGCUUCCUGGCCCAUUACUGACGUUCAGGCACGAAAGCGUGGGGAGCAAACAGG